CCGGCGACCGGCGCACGGGUGAGUAACACGUAUGCAACCUGGCCGUGACAGAUGGAUAACUGGGAGAAAUCCCGCCUAAUACAACAUAAUGCCGGGAGGGGACAUCCCCUGCCGGCCAAAGGGGGCGACCCCGGUCACGGAUGGGCAUGCGGCGCAUUAGGUAGUUGGUGGGGCAACGGCCCACCAAGCCGACGAUGCGUAGGGGUUCUGAGAGGAAGGUCCCCCACAUUGGAACUGAGACACGGUCCAAACUCCUACGGAAGGCAGCAG
RNAcentral lists this ribosomal RNA (270 nucleotides) under uncultured bacterium. RNAcentral's name for it is "partial 16S ribosomal RNA". It matches the Rfam family "Bacterial small subunit ribosomal RNA", at positions 88 to 354 of the family's 1533-position model. The record is from RNAcentral.